CGGGUGAGUAACGCGUGAGGAACCUGCCUUGAAGAGGGGGACAACAGUUGGAAACGACUGCUAAUACCGCAUGAAGCAUAGGGGUCGCAUGAUCUUUAUGCCAAAGAUUUAUCGCUUCAAGAUGGCCUCGCGUCCGAUUAGCUAGUUGGUGAGGUAACGGCCCACCAAGGCGACGAUCGGUAGCCGGACUGGGAGGUUGAACGGCCACAUUGGGACUGAGACACGGCCCAG
RNAcentral lists this ribosomal RNA (231 nucleotides) under uncultured bacterium. Its description in RNAcentral is "partial 16S ribosomal RNA". It matches the Rfam family "Bacterial small subunit ribosomal RNA", at positions 103 to 334 of the family's 1533-position model. The record is from RNAcentral.